RNAcentral lists this transfer RNA (72 nucleotides) under Proteobacteria bacterium CAG:495. It matches the Rfam family "tRNA". Rfam says of the family: Transfer RNA (tRNA) molecules are approximately 80 nucleotides in length. Their secondary structure includes four short double-helical elements and three loops (D, anti-codon, and T loops). Further hydrogen bonds mediate the characteristic L-shaped molecular structure. tRNAs have two regions of fundamental functional importance: the anti-codon, which is responsible for specific mRNA codon recognition, and the 3' end, to which the tRNAs corresponding amino acid is attached (by aminoacyl-tRNA synthetases). tRNAs cope with the degeneracy of the genetic code in two manners: having more than one tRNA (with a specific anti-codon) for a particular amino acid; and 'wobble' base-pairing, i.e. permitting non-standard base-pairing at the 3rd anti-codon position. Lineage: Bacteria; Pseudomonadati; Pseudomonadota. The record is from Rfam by way of RNAcentral.
GCCGCUAUAGCUCAGUGGUAGAGCACACCCUUGGUAAGGGUGGGGUCGUAAGUCCGAUUCUUACUAGCGGGC